This 451-nucleotide ribosomal RNA is filed under the name uncultured bacterium. Its description in RNAcentral is "bacterial SSU rRNA". It matches the Rfam family "Bacterial small subunit ribosomal RNA", at positions 340 to 784 of the family's 1533-position model. The record is from RNAcentral.
UACGGAAGGCAGCAGUGGGGAAUAUUGCACAAUGGGCGCAAGCCUGAUGCAGCCAUGCCGCGUGUAUGAAGAAGGCCUUCGGGUUGUAAAGUACUUUCAGCGGGGAGGAAGGCGGUGAAGUUAAUAGCUUCACCGAUUGACGUUACCCGCAGAAGAAGCACCGGCUAACUCCGUGCCAGCAGCCGCGGUAAUACGGAGGGUGCAAGCGUUAAUCGGAAUUACUGGGCGUAAAGCGCACGCAGGCGGUCUGUCAAGUCGGAUGUGAAAUCCCCGGGCUUAACCUGGGAACUGCAUUCGAAACUGGCAGGCUAGAGUCUUGUAGAGGGGGUAGAAUUCCAGGUGUAGCGGUGAAAUGCGUAGAGAUCUGGAGGAAUCCGGUGGCGAAGGCGGCCCCUGGGACAAAGACUGACGCUCAGGUGCGAAAGCGUGGGGAGCAAACGAGGAUUAGGAU